UAUGUGAUCGUCUCUCGCAUAUCAAUAAGCGGAGGAAAAGAAACUAACAAGGAUUCCCCUAGUAACGGCGAGUGAAGCGGGAAGAGCUCAAAUUUGAAAUCUUAAAGGGUUUCCCUUUACGAAUUGUAGUUUAAAGAAGUGUUUUCUGUUGAGGUUUUGGUAAAAGUUCUUUGGAAUAGGACAUCAUAGAGGGUGAGAAUCCCGUAUUUGACCUUUACUUUCAACUUUGUGAUACACUUUCAAAGAGUCGGAUUGUUUGGGAAUGCAGUCCAAAAUGGGUGGUAAAUUUCAUCUAAAGCUAAAUAUUGGCGAGAGACCGAUAGCGAACAAGUACCGUGAGGGAAAGAUGAAAAGAACUUUGAAAAGAGAGUUAAACAGUACGUGAAAUUGUCAAAAGGGAAGCGUUUGACACCAGUGUUGUUUUUCUGAAAAUCAAUUAAAGAACUGUUUAUGCUAAGUUGUUUAGACUUUAUCAGCUAAUCUGCUUAGUUUUGAGCUUUUCUUUAAUGCACUUUUCAGUUAACAAGUCAACAUCAAUUUCUUUUGCUGUAAAAAAGCUUGAGGAAGGUGGCUAGAGAUUCGUCUUAAGUGUUUAUAGCCUCUUGCCUAUGCAGUCGGAGAGAUUGAGGCCUGCAGCGUAGAUCCUUCGGGGCUAAAUGCAUUUGUGCUAAGUUAUAGCAUUUUAUAGACAACUUGUUGACUAUGAUUUGUCUUGUAGCUUACUCGCUUAUGUUAUUUUACCUACGCUUAGGAUGUUGAGUAGCGACAUACGCAC
This 775-nucleotide ribosomal RNA is filed under the name uncultured Neocallimastigales. RNAcentral's name for it is "partial large subunit ribosomal RNA". It matches the Rfam family "Eukaryotic large subunit ribosomal RNA", at positions 24 to 649 of the family's 3401-position model. Lineage: Eukaryota; Fungi; Neocallimastigomycota; Neocallimastigomycetes; Neocallimastigales. The record is from RNAcentral.